RNAcentral lists this long non-coding RNA (3657 nucleotides) under Phaseolus vulgaris (common bean). Its description in RNAcentral is "long non-coding RNA (PVUL_LNC002650)". The record is from RNAcentral. Lineage: Eukaryota; Viridiplantae; Streptophyta; Magnoliopsida; Fabales; Fabaceae.
UAAAUAACACAUUUCAAGGGCCCUGAGUGCCGAUCACCCGCUUUACUGACUUGAGCGUCGAGGUGCCUUCUGCAAGUACCCCCAUCCGGUGUUCACCAUAGGCCGGGAGCCGAAGGAGAAGCACGAAGGCGAGAAAGAUCCCAGUGAAUCCCUAGCAACCUGCUCGACCGAAAGAGGAAGACGAAAACUUCAAUAGUUCUCUACAUCUCAUCUCCCUAGUAGGAAGAUGAAUAAAUAACUAUUUUUAUGUGCAAAUCUGUGAUUUUUUUAAAGUUAAAUUCUAAAUCUUUAAUCACCAAAUAUAUAGAUACAAUAAUAUCUAAACUCUUACUAAUGACUAAUGUUAUAUUUUAUUUUCUAAAGUACAGUGAGAAGUGAAAUCCAUUUAGACAUGAGCUGUUACAUUUAUGGUUUAUUCUUGUGGAUUCUUAGUCAGUGAGCUGUUUUUUUCUUUUUCAUUCUUUUGUAAAUUUCUAUGCCGAAUUUAAGCUUCCAAAUGUUUUUUGGCAUCACCUUUGCAUAAAAUGAAUAAUAAAGUUUAGGAAAGGUUUCUUCCGGGCAGAACUUUAUCAACUUGUUACCAUGGAUUUUGUAACUUACAUGAACGUAGAUAUGAAGAAAAAAAAAAAAAGCAAAAGCUAAAUGCUGCUGUAUUCUACAGAGCCACAGAUCUGUGCAUGUUUGCUGGAAGAAAUGAUGAGAAAAAGUAACUUGGUGGACAUACCUGGUCCCCUUGCUUUUAUUUUGGAACUUUUCUUAUGCAGUGGACCACCAACUUUAUUUUUUUCUAUUAUAAACCAUGUUUUCUUGUUCUCUAAUCUUUCAUUUCUCAUGAAGUUGAACAAUUCUGAGGUAUCACAAUAAAGAAACACUGAGAGAGGAGAGAAGGCAAGGCUGUGCUUGUGGCAUAUCCUUGAUGGGUAAUAACAGGUUCAGAUUGUCAGAUAUGAUGCCAAAUGCAUGGUUCUAUAAGCUCAAAGAUAUGAGCAAAUCAAGGAAGAAAAAUGGCCCUCAUGUUAUGAAGAACAAAGUAAUUACCUCACCAACAACCUCCCAAAGGUCACAGCCAAGAUACUCUCAUUGUUUCUCCAUUGAACCCAACAUAGCUGGUAAGUUAUACAAUUCUCCUAUUUACACUAAGCACUCAGACAACAUAUUCAUUGAUUCACCAAGAAGGUCAUCUAAAAGAAGAACUAAGAGAAAAACAAUUUAUAAGCCUUCUCCCACAGUUGUCUCUUCACCAGUCAUAGAAAGUUUUAGUUGUCAUUCCACAAAUUGGAUUAAGCCAAAUCAACCUCAGUCUCCUGACUAUUAUCUCUCCUCCUCCGAGAGUUCUUCUGAAUCAAACUUCCAUGAGUAUGUUUCAUCUGAGUCUGAUGAGUGUGACAAGUUCACUAUUCCUGACCUGCUUAAUGGAGUAGCCUCUGAAUGCAGUUGCAGAGUUAGCUCUUCCACCAAUGACAUAAUCAUUGACAUGAAAAAUGAACCAUUCACUGGAAAUUGUGAAAAUCUUGAUGGGUUUGACACAAUUUCACAAUUAGGCCUUCCUCCGAUAUUGACAAAGCCAGUGAAGUUUGAUGAUAAGGUAAUUGAAGCCAUUGAGUUGAGGAGAUCAACUAAAUUUGAUGAGGUAAAGUCUCAUCAAUCUCUAGCUGUUAAAGUUAGCAAAGAGGAAAGCAGUAGAACUAAGAGAGAGAGAAAAACCAGUCCAGUAUCUAGAAUUUCCUCUGCUAAUUCUACAGGUAUAAGACUUAGAGUGAAUUCUCCAAAACUGGCAAGCAAGAAAGUUCAAGCCUAUGCCAGAAGGAGUGUGUCAUCCAAAGCAGGCAAGGCCUCAGUAGAUACAGGUUUUCCAGAGGGAUUUGCAGUUGUUAAGUCCUCACUUGAUCCACAAAGAGACUUCAGGGAGUCAAUGGUGGAAAUGAUAGUGGAGAACAAUAUCCGAGCAUCAAAAGAUUUGGAGAACUUGCUUGCCUGCUAUCUUUCACUGAACUCAAGAGAAUACCAUGAUCUCAUUGUCAAAGCAUUUGAGCAAAUUUGGUAUGACAUGGCUCUACUUGGAAUGUAAAGAUUUUAGAAUUAUCCAAUGCAUGUGUAUAAUAGUCUUGUAAGUAACACUUCUCUGGACCAACUUUUGUUCUGAACUCUCAAACCAAUGCUGUAUCAAUCUUUCGUAAAUUAAAAAAUGUAGUUGCCAAAAGGAAUUUGAGUUCAAGAGUAAGCUAUCAGCUCACUUACUUCAGAACUAGUUUAUUAAUGAAUUGUGAUUGAUAACCUCAUAAAAGCACUAGUGUAUGUGUAUGAUCCAUUCUCUACCUAUAUGCCAUGAUGAGCAACAAUCUGCUAACAAAAAUAAAUAAAAAAAUAUACUUUCUGAAUGGCCCUGCCACUUCCUUAUGUGGUUUUUGUUGUUCUAGUUGCUUGCGUUCAUCUAUUAUGUCAAAUGCCCCGCUUGUGUCUAUGUUAAAGUGUUUUUAAAUUACUAUCAGCAAUAAGGCAGACUUAGAAUAUCAUCGACUAGAGAUAAAGACAUCUCGUAACAAAAUUUACUUAGAUAAAAUUAACAUGACCAAGUGUCCCUUCAGAAAAUAAAGAAAGUAACAACCGAAGAAACAGAUUUUUAUUCUAAUUACUAUUUUUCAAGAAAUUGCCCUUAACUGGGUCGUUUGUGAAUGUUUGUUAUCAGAUGAUGAUGAGAUUUAUUACCAGUGUUCCUCUAAGAAUGCAGCACCAGAAAAAACAUCAAACAUAUUGCUUCUUUUAUAGUAACUUACUAAUAAUCCUCAAAGGUGUGAAACUUCAAAUAGUAUAUUAUUACUAGCCCCGGGCCAACUAAAAACACUAUACAUGCCAAUUAUUAAGAUUGGUAGUUUGGUAGCAGUAGCCAUAACUCUUUUCCUCGUCAACCCUUUAGCAGACUCAAAUAUUUACCUCCAAUAUAUCUGCAAGUAUAGGUAGUUCCAAAAAAAGUAAUUUUUUACCAUAUUGGGAAAACUGAAUUGGUAUCAUUAACUCAUUACAGUUUUUUAGCUCCUCUUUCUUUUUGGUCUGAUAGAGCACCAUACUGUAAAUUUCUAACUCUCAUGGUUCAACUUUUGGAAUGCAAAUUAUAUAUUUGUUGAACAAUAUAAAUUGAUUUUGAGAUAAAAUCUAUGCAUAGACCUAAACAUAUUGUGGAAUAGUUGGAAUAAAUAUGUGGGCAAGAAGAUGACAGUUGAUGGCAUUGUUUGUGGUAGGGAACAGUGAAUAAAGAUGAAUAUGUAGCCUUUAUAUUUAUUUCAUCUGCUAUUCAUUUAUCACGUAUUGAUGGAUUACAUAAAAAUAAUAAUAACAAUUAUUAGUUACUUUAUAUGCAACAAAAGUUUCAUUUCACUAACUAAAAUGGAUUACAUAAUACAUGAAUUGUGUAAAUCAUGUUGAUGAUAAAAGAAAUUGUAGUUUAUAAUUACAACUGUGAUUGUUAGGUAAAACUUUUUCAACUCACUUCAAUUGUUUCAAUCAGAGUGAAAAAGGAAACCACAACAAUGUAGAACCAUAAUCACAUUAUCAAUUACAUUUUGCAAAACUUUGAAAUUAGUACCUUUUUUAGAUGCCCUGUGAUUCAUUGUACUAGUAAGCUUUGUCAUCAAAAUCAGAGCCAAUGGAGAGCAAAGGAAC